RNAcentral lists this ribosomal RNA (117 nucleotides) under Bacteroidota bacterium. Lineage: Bacteria; Pseudomonadati; Bacteroidota. The record is from RNAcentral.
UCUGGUGGUUAUUACGAGAAGGUCACACCCGUUCCCAUACCGAACACGGCAGUUAAGCUUCUCAGUGUCGAUGAUACUUGGAUGGAAGCGUCCCGGGAAAGUAGAUCGCCGCCAGAU